UUUUCUAUGAUUCUAUGCAGCUUGUUUUAAUUUUGCACAUCAAAUGCACAAGCAGUUUAUUAAAACACUUUUGUAAAGGUGAGGUAGUAAAAAAUCACAACGUGCUGAUGCAUAAGGAUGCACAGGUGUACAUGCACAGGUGUUUCAUAAAAGAACAAAACACUCCAUUGAAGAACAUUAAGAUCGCAAAGUCAAGCAUGUAAAAGUUAGGAAUUACCAGAACGAAGUUGCCUGUGUAACAUUAAUGUGCACCCCCUUGUGUAUGCAUUAAAUUGCAGCCUUCAAUCAGACAAUUUUUCCCCAUAGGACCUCUGCCUCAUUCAACAGGCAACAUGAGGCUGCCUUAGGCCUGAACCUGUGUUGUGUACUGAAGGACCCACUUCCAUUUGUAGCAGGAAUGAGGCAGAGGAUUGUAAGAAGAAAAACGACUCUCUCUUACGGUUAAAGCAGCUGAAUGCUGCCCUGGAGAACUGAAUUGUACCUUUGUGUCUACCAGAGAGUUCCCUCCAAUUCUAGGUAUGUCAUGUAAACCACAUUUUUCACAGGCAGUCACUAACUGGAUGCCCCUCAUUUUUGUGAUGUCAGGCAUCAGACCCUGAGAACUGAUUUGCAGAAGUGCUAAGAGUUCAGCUGCAACUGAAGUCAGCAAGAGCUAUAUUCUGAACACACAAAGUGCUGUCACAUGCUAAAGCAGUGGUUGGCAGGGUAUGGCCCACAGGCUGGAUCCAUCCUACAGACACUGUAUUCAGCCUGCUAAGUACAUUGAGUUUAUAUAUCCCACUGUUGGUAAAGCAGCAAGCAGUACAGUGGGCAGCAGGUACUCAGGAUCAGGCAUGUAAUGCCCAAAAGUCAGGUGUGUCGGGGGGGGAGGGGGGAGAAGAGGGGCAGCUGAGCAUUAGAGACUUCAGUGGAGUGUGAGGCAUGAAAAGAAAAGCUUGAUAAAAGACUCGGCAGGACAACCUGUUCCAACCUGAUGUCUGAGUGAAAAGUUUUUCUAAGUCCCACCUAAGCGUCAGGUUAACUGCUGGCCCACCUUAAAACCAAGCUGUGUUAAUUCAGCAUGGUGCAAGUGAAAGGUUGCUGACCUCUGUGCUGAAGUAUCUUGAAAAAAAUCCGGCCUUAGGUGUCUCAAAUUGGGCAGCAAAAACAAGUCCUUUAUACCUUAAUCUCUCUGGGUACAGUUUAGCAUCUGUAAAAAGGGUAAAAUACAUACUAAUUUUCCCGGGGUCUUGUGAAUAUCUUUAGAACAAAUCAAUAAAUUGUCCCAACGGUCUUUAGAACAAAUUGAUCAAUUAAACACUGGCAGGUCACUGGGACCAGCUGGCAUUUCCCUGAGGGUGCUGAAGAAACUCAGAUGUGAAAUUGCAGAGCUGUUAAACAAUGGUACAUAACCAAUCAUUGCAAACAGCCUCCGUGCCAGAAGACUGGCAGGUUACCAAUGUUACACCCAUCUUCAAAAAGGGCUUCAGAGGUGAUUCUGGGAAAUAGACCAGUGAGUCUCACUUCCAUUCCUGGCAAAUUGGUAGACUCUAUAACACAGAAUAAAAUGAGCAGUCACAUGGAUAAAUAUGAUAUGCUGUACAAGAGUCAGCUUGGCAUUUAUAAAAGGAAAUCCUGCCUCACCAAUCUGUUGGAGUUCUUUGAAGGCGUUGAAAAAUAUGUGGACAAGAGAGAUCCAGUUGAUAUAAUAUACAUAGGUGAAGGGAAAAAAAUUAUUUUGAGGGGGCUGAGCAUGCAUGUGCUUCACCCCCCUUCCCAGCAGUGAAUAUAGUGACGUGGGAAAUGAGGUAACCAAACCUGUGAUCACCAUUGAAAUGAGGCCCCUUGCUCAGGAAAACCACUCAAGAAACUAACCAGGCAUGUUGUCAGUGUAAUGACAACAAGACUUCUAACACAAAGUUAUACUCUGCUUCACUUGGAUCCCAAUGUCACAUGCCCAAAAUACUUAAUAACAUACUCUGAUGCCUCUAGCAUACAGGACGCUGGGAGUAAACUUUUUCUCUACUUCACAGAUACUUCUACCCUCCAGUCAUUUAUUCUACAAUCAUGGGAAAAGACCAGAAAACCAUUAAUGACUACCUUUAUACAUCAUCAGAUAAAAAGAACUGACUGCCAUUAGCCAAUCAGUUGGGGGUUUUUUUUUGCUAACAAGUUGUGAGUUGCAAAAUUACAUUUAUGUUGUUUUUUCCCCUGGAGGGUAUAAAAGGCUCUCAUACAUUCGGAUAAGCCCACUCAAAUGUUAAUUGAUUGCUAACUUUGUUGAAAGAUUAGGUGACACACCUUAAUACAAACAAACCAUAUUUUUCAUCUUAUCAAGAUGUAUUUCUUCAUUUUGAAGUGUGUGUCUAAAGGGAAACAUAUUUUUUAUUAUUUAUAUAAUAUAUCAACUCUCAUAACUAUUUUUUGGUUUUGGAGAGACAGAAGUAUUUUUAUUUCAUGGCUUACUGACUCAAUUCAUGCCCACCUAGAGAAUUCAUAGGCAUUAUUUCUGUGACAAAUUUUAUAUUGUUAGUUAAUUAAUUACUUUGAUCAUUAUAAAAGGAUGGAGAGAUGUACAAUACUGUUUGAGGAAAUCACCUGGCUCAAAAAAGGGCUUUUAAAAGAAAUGUAACAGAACUACUAAAUGAGCUGGUGGAGAGUGUGAAGAAAUGGUUAAGAUCCUUAUUAAUAAGAUCCUAUAAGGUCAGAGAUCCAAUGAACUUCUAAUUUUCACCCUUUUCACAAGAACAUGACUUGAGUUCAUCAGUAUCAAGCAAUGGCUAAAAUCACGUACAACUUAGGCACAAAAGAGGGUAAUGGUCCCAGAAACAAAGUUAUUACUCAACCUCAUGUUAAAAAACUCACACAAAUCAACAAGAAGAAUAAUGAAAAAAGAGCCAACGGGAAGAAUAGCAAGCCAGACUGCUGAAAAUCAGACAAGAAAGAUGCCAAUUUGGAUACCCAAACUGCACAUCUGAAACAGUUUAGAGCAUUUCCACAUUCUAAGUGAAUGCUGUAAUCCAGGAUGCCUGUGCCACACAACCUUGCACAUCUGAAUAAGCAACAGCUUGCAAUAAAUUCAGAACAAGGUCAUUUCCAAGAAUAAGAUAUUUUCCCACAGAAACAAGCAGCCAUCUUCCAAGAGUUUUAGCAUCCCACAGUGCAUGGCUGAAGUUAGUAAGCAACUGCCAAAAUGGUCACAACAGGAAAAAGCAGCCUUUAAAGAAUGAUUUCCUUCUUAUAGUUAUCUGACCUAGAUUUGCCUAGAAAAGGCAUGUAAUGUUUUUCUCUGCUUUAAUAUUUCAUACUUUAUUAUUUAUAUUAAAGUCUAUAAUAGCAUGGGACAUGAGCAUACCAUCCAGUUAAUAUACACAUGCAAAAACAUGGUUUUGGUUUUACUAAUUAUUCCUGAAUAGCCUACGCAGCUAAGACUGAGUGGGUGCAUCUACACAUGCAAUUAGCAUAUAGCAAUAAACUCCGGGGCAGUUCGCACCAGAGUUGGCUGCUCCUGAGUGCAGCAUCUUCACGUGUACCCGGGACUGUAGCAUUUAAAGCCAGGGUGGAGCAGCCCUGAGCCAGCAGGGGAUCUGGGGGGGUCAACCCUGGGCUCCAGGUGGUGGUAGAAGGGCUGGCUAGGGCACAAGGGUCCUACAGUGCAGAGCUAGGAAUCAGGAAGCCUCCACACUGUAGAGCACUUUCAUGCCUCAGAUAGCCCCACUCAGUCUA
This is a long non-coding RNA of Gavialis gangeticus (Gharial), 3705 nucleotides long. RefSeq lists it as uncharacterized. The transcript is spliced from 3 exons. Lineage: Eukaryota; Metazoa; Chordata; Crocodylia; Gavialidae. The record is from RefSeq and is a predicted model, not a curated record.